RNAcentral lists this ribosomal RNA (168 nucleotides) under Pultenaea reticulata. RNAcentral's name for it is "5.8S ribosomal RNA". It matches the Rfam family "5.8S ribosomal RNA". Rfam says of the family: 5.8S ribosomal RNA (5.8S rRNA) is a component of the large subunit of the eukaryotic ribosome. It is transcribed by RNA polymerase I as part of the 45S precursor that also contains 18S and 28S rRNA. The record is from RNAcentral. Lineage: Eukaryota; Viridiplantae; Streptophyta; Magnoliopsida; Fabales; Fabaceae.
AUUUUAAAUGACUCUCGGCAACGGAUAUCUCGGCUCUUGCAUCGAUGAAGAACGUAGCGAAAUGCGAUACUUGGUGUGAAUUGCAGAAUCCCGUGAACCAUCGAGUCUUUGAACGCAAGUUGCGCCCGAAGCCAUUAGGCUAAGGGCACGCCUGCCUGGGUGUCACAC